Molecule: ribosomal RNA, 253 nt
Filed under: uncultured bacterium
Lineage: Bacteria
Description: partial 16S ribosomal RNA
Rfam family: Bacterial small subunit ribosomal RNA
Source: RNAcentral
UACGGAGGGUGCGAGCGUUGUCCGGAAUCACUGGGCGUAAAGGGCGCGUAGGCGGUCUGCUAAGCGUGCGGUGAAAGCCUGGGGCUCAACCCCAGGUCUGCCGUGCGAACUGGUGGACUUGAGCACUGUAGAGGCAGGUGGAAUUCCGGGUGUAGCGGUGGAAUGCGUAGAGAUCCGGAAGAACACCGGUGGCGAAGGCGGCAUCCUGGACCGGCAUUGACGCUGAGGAGCGAAAGCCAGGGGAGCAAACGGG